ACGGCGAGUGAAGCCGGAAAAGCCCAUCGCCAAAUCUUCCACCUCUUCGGUGGCGAGAACUGUGGCGUAAAGGACCGUGCAGUCGGGAUGGCCGAAAGAACAAGUUCCGCGGGACAGGUUUGCUCCCAGAGUGGGUGUGAGGCCUUUAACGUCGAUCGUGCCGCUCGGCAAUGCACUGGUAGCCAGAGAGUAGAGUUGUUUGGGAUUGCAGCUCAAAGCGGGUGGUAAGCUCCAUCUGAGGCUAAAUACCGGCGCGAGUCCGAUAGCGAACAAGUACCGUGAGGGAAAGUUGAAAAGAACUUUGUAAAGAGAGUUCAAAAGACCGUGAAAGCGCCUACGGGCAAACUGGAGGAACCGACUUUUUGCGACUGACGGAAUCCAGCUCCCCGAACUCGGCGCACGAGUUUUCGGACGCGUUCUCCUCGGGGAACGCGACGGCGAUCUUUGCGUCCGCGAUCGAGGGUGUAUCUUGCGUCUGGUCGCCGGUUGCCGCGGUUUCGACGUGCUCCGUCUCUGGCUUGGGGGAGUGUGGCUUCGCGGCCCGUCUCGGCGGCUUGUUCAAGGUCUGCCCCAGUCACUUGGAACGGCGGACGAUUCGUCGGAACGCGGUCUCACACCCCCGCGCCGUUUUGCAGCGAGAGUUUGGAAAGCGGUCGAUCAGGUCGCGCCCCAAAUUUCCCCGCUAGCGGGUGUUGUCGGGGGUA
This 704-nucleotide ribosomal RNA is filed under the name Cellana karachiensis. RNAcentral's name for it is "partial large subunit ribosomal RNA". It matches the Rfam family "Eukaryotic large subunit ribosomal RNA", at positions 86 to 630 of the family's 3401-position model. Lineage: Eukaryota; Metazoa; Mollusca; Gastropoda; Nacellidae. The record is from RNAcentral.